AUUGAACGCUGGCGGCAGACCUAACACAUGCAAGUCGAGCGGUAGCACAGAGAGCUUGCUCUCGGGUGACGAGCGGCGGACGGGUGAGUAAUGUCUGGGAAACUGCCUGAUGGAGGGGGAUAACUACUGGAAACGGUAGCUAAUACCGCAUAACGUCGCAAGACCAAAGUGGGGGACCUUCGGGCCUCAUGCCAUCAGAUGUGCCCAGAUGGGAUUAGCUAGUAGGUGGGGUAACGGCUCACCUAGGCGACGAUCCCUAGCUGGUCUGAGAGGAUGACCAGCCACACUGGAACUGAGACACGGUCCAGACUCCUACGGGAGGCAGCAGUGGGGAAUAUUGCACAAUGGGCGCAAGCCUGAUGCAGCCAUGCCGCGUGUGUGAAGAAGGCCUUCGGGUUGUAAAGCACUUUCAGCGGGGAGGAAGGCGGUGAGGUUAAUAACCUCAUCGAUUGACGUUACCCGCAGAAGAAGCACCGGCUAACUCCGUGCCAGCAGCCGCAGUAA
RNAcentral lists this ribosomal RNA (504 nucleotides) under uncultured bacterium. Its description in RNAcentral is "partial 16S ribosomal RNA". It matches the Rfam family "Bacterial small subunit ribosomal RNA", at positions 30 to 523 of the family's 1533-position model. The record is from RNAcentral.